GACGAACGCUGGCGGCGUGCCUAACACAUGCAAGUCGAGCGAAUGAAGUUCCUUCGGGAAUGGAUUUAGCGGCGGACGGGUGAGUAACACGUGGGCAACCUGCCUCAUAGAGGGGAAUAGCCUCCCGAAAGGGAGAUUAAUACCGCAUAAGAUUGUAGUACCGCAUGAUACAGCAAUUAAAGGAGCAAUCCGCUAUGAGAUGGGCCCGCGGCGCAUUAGCUAGUUGGUGAGGUAAUGGCUCACCAAGGCGACGAUGCGUAGCCGACCUGAGAGGGUGACCGGCCACAUUGGGACUGAGACACGGCCCAGACUCCUACGGGAGGCAGCAGUGGGGAAUAUUGCACAAUGGGGGAAACCCUGAUGCAGCAACGCCGCGUGAGUGAUGACGGCCUUCGGGUUGUAAAGCUCUGUCUUCAGGGACGAUAAUGACGGUACCUGAGGAGGAAGCCACGGCUAACUACGUG
This 464-nucleotide ribosomal RNA is filed under the name uncultured bacterium. RNAcentral describes it as "partial 16S ribosomal RNA". It matches the Rfam family "Bacterial small subunit ribosomal RNA", at positions 28 to 507 of the family's 1533-position model. The record is from RNAcentral.